This 460-nucleotide ribosomal RNA is filed under the name uncultured bacterium. RNAcentral describes it as "partial 16S ribosomal RNA". It matches the Rfam family "Bacterial small subunit ribosomal RNA", at positions 338 to 795 of the family's 1533-position model. The record is from RNAcentral.
CCUACGGGUGGCAGCAGUGAGGAAUAUUGGUCAAUGGGCGUAAGCCUGAACCAGCCAAGUCGCGUGAGGGAUGAAGGUUCUAUGGAUCGUAAACCUCUUUUAUAAGGGAAUAAAGUGUGGGACGUGUCCUGUUUUGUAUGUACCUUAUGAAUAAGGAUCGGCUAACUCCGUGCCAGCAGCCGCGGUAAUACGGAGGACCCGAGCGUUAUCCGGAUUUAUUGGGUUUAAAGGGUGCGUAGGCGGCCUUUUAAGUCAGCGGUGAAAGUCGGUGGCUCAACCAUAGAAUUGCCGUUGAAACUGGGAGGCUUGAGUAUGUUUGAGGCAGGCGGAAUGCGUGGUGUAGCGGUGAAAUGCUUAGAUAUCACGCAGAACCCCGAUUGCGAAGGCAGCCUGCCAAGCCAUGACUGACGCUGAUGCACGAAAGCGUGGGGAUCAAACAGGAUUAGAGACCCCAGGAGUC